RNAcentral lists this ribosomal RNA (253 nucleotides) under uncultured bacterium. RNAcentral describes it as "partial 16S ribosomal RNA". It matches the Rfam family "Bacterial small subunit ribosomal RNA", at positions 524 to 776 of the family's 1533-position model. The record is from RNAcentral.
UACGGAGGGUGCAAGCAUUAAUCGGAUUUAUUGGGCGUAAAGGGCGCGUAGGCGGGGAUGUAAGUCAGAUGUGAAAUCCCGGGGCUCAACCUCGGAACUGCAUUUGAAACUAUAUCUCUUGAGGAUGGAAGGAGAAAACGGAAUUCCACAAGUAGCGGUGAAAUGCGUAGAUAUGUGGAAGAACACCGGUGGCGAAGGCGGUUUUCUAUUUUAUUCCUGACGCUGAUGCGCGAAAGCAAGGGGAUCAAACAGG